RNAcentral lists this ribosomal RNA (338 nucleotides) under uncultured eukaryote. RNAcentral's name for it is "partial 18S ribosomal RNA". It matches the Rfam family "Eukaryotic small subunit ribosomal RNA", at positions 1470 to 1796 of the family's 1831-position model. The record is from RNAcentral.
CCCUUAGAUGCUCUGGGCCGCACGCGCGCUACACUGGUCGAUGCAACGAGUUUCUUUCCUUGGCCGACAGGCCUGGGCAAUCUUUGAACAUCGAUCGUGAUCGGGAUAGAUUCUUGUAAUUUUUGAUCUUAAACGAGGAAUUCCUAGUAAACGCAAGUCAUCAGCUUGCAUUGAUUACGUCCCUGCCCUUUGUACACACCGCCCGUCGCACCUACCGAUUGAAUGGUCCGGUGAGGAUUCAGGACUUGAGAUUCAUUUCUGCUGCGGUUCUGCUGUAGUGGAAACUCUCGGGGAAUUUAUUCAAAUCUUAACAUUUAGAGGAAGGAGAAGUCGUAACA